This 251-nucleotide ribosomal RNA is filed under the name uncultured bacterium. Its description in RNAcentral is "partial 16S ribosomal RNA". It matches the Rfam family "Bacterial small subunit ribosomal RNA", at positions 57 to 305 of the family's 1533-position model. The record is from RNAcentral.
GCAAGUCGAACGCGCUCGAUCUCUUUCGGGAAAUUUAGUAGAGUGGCGCACGGGUGAGUAACGCGUAAGUAAUCUAUCUAGGCAUCUGGGAUAACAAUUCGAAAGGAUUGCUAAUACCGGAUACGUUGGAGACAAGAAAGGUGGCCUCUGUUUCAUGCUACUGUGCUUAGAGGAGCUUGCGUACCAUUAGCUAGUUGGUGGGGUAAUGGCCUACCAAGGCAACGAUGGGUAGCGGGUCUGAGAGGAUGAUC